GAUGAACGCUGGCGGCGUGCCUAAUACAUGCAAGUCGAGCGAAUGGAUUAAGAGCUUGCUCUUAUGAAGUUAGCGGCGGACGGGUGAGUAACACGUGGGUAACCUGCCCAUAAGACUGGGAUAACUCCGGGAAACCGGGGCUAAUACCGGAUAACAUUUUGGACCGCAUGGUUCGAAAUUGAAAGGCGGCAUCGGCUGUCCCUUAUGGAUGGACGCGCGUCGCAUUAGCUAGUUGGUGAGGUAACGGCUCACCAAGGCAACGAUGCGUAGCCGACCUGAGAGGGUGAUCGGCCACACUGGGACUGAGACACGGCCCAGACUCCUACGGGAGGCAGCAGUAGGGAAUCUUCCGCAAUGGACGAAAGUCUGACGGAGCAACGCCGCGUGGGUGAUGAAGGCUUUCGGGUCGUAAAACUCUGUUGUUAGGGAAGAACAAGUGCUAGUUGAAUAAGCUGGCACCUUGACGGUACCUAACCAGAAAGCCACGGCUAACUACGUGCCAGCCGCCGCAGUAA
RNAcentral lists this ribosomal RNA (515 nucleotides) under uncultured bacterium. RNAcentral describes it as "partial 16S ribosomal RNA". It matches the Rfam family "Bacterial small subunit ribosomal RNA", at positions 28 to 523 of the family's 1533-position model. The record is from RNAcentral.